CAUCUGCCCAUUCAGCCACUUGGUUUGACUCACAGGCUUGGACUUGACUUUCAUUCCUACCGCUGCAGCCACUGAUGAUAAUUUGCAGCAUGUGGAAUCUAGUUACCUAAACAGGAUGGAACCCAGGCCUCCUGCACUGGGAGUUUGGAGUCUUAGCCACUGGAGGACCAGCGGGGAAGUCCCAGACUACUUCUUCAAACUUUUACUCUGUACUGCCUCCCUUCUCCCCGGGAGCUCACCUUUGUGGUUGGUCCCCACUUCAGAGGACAGUGGCAGAGGCUGUAGAACAGACGGACUGAUGCUCAGUCGUGUCCGACUCUUUGUGACCCCAUGGACUGCAGCACACCAGGAUUCCCUGUCCUUCACCAUCUCCCGGAAUUUGCUCAGACUCAUGUCCAUUGAGUCAGUGAUGCCAUCCAACCAUCUCGCCCUCUGUUGUCUGCUUCCCCUCCUGUCAUACAGCAUGUUAAACUUGAUUGCACACCACACUGCAACAUCAAUAAGAGAAGUAAUAUUAAGCAAACCCAGAGAUACUAAGUCCGAAAAAAACAUUUGAUUUGUUCAUUUGAAAACAAAGUAGAACUAUUGCUCAAAAAAGGGCUGAGUCUAUUUAUUGAUACUUUAGGAGUUCUCAAUCCUGAGGAAUUAAUAUUCUGAGUGAUAGAAAAUAGAGUUUAGCCUUUCAGGGAAAAAAAGUAGUUCUUCGAAGUAACUCAUCCUCCUGAAAUGUUGCUUAGCCUCUGAUUCCAAGCCAGCCCCUAUACUGCUCCUGUCUGAUUCUAACUUGCAGCCUUUCAAAAGGCCCCUUUCCUUG
Molecule: long non-coding RNA, 814 nt
Organism: Bos taurus (domestic cattle)
Lineage: Eukaryota; Metazoa; Chordata; Mammalia; Artiodactyla; Bovidae
Source: Ensembl